This 253-nucleotide ribosomal RNA is filed under the name uncultured bacterium. RNAcentral describes it as "partial 16S ribosomal RNA". It matches the Rfam family "Bacterial small subunit ribosomal RNA", at positions 524 to 776 of the family's 1533-position model. The record is from RNAcentral.
UACGAAGGGGGCUGGCGUUGCUCGGAAUGACUGGGCGUAAAGGGCGCGUAGGCGGCUCAUACAGUCAGAUGUGAAAUUCCUGGGCUUAACCUGGGGGCUGCAUUUGAUACGUGUGGGCUUGAGUGGGGAAGAGGGUCGUGGAAUUCCCAGUGUAGAGGUGAAAUUCGUAGAUAUUGGGAAGAACACCGGUGGCGAAGGCGGCGACCUGGUCCUUGACUGACGCUGAGGCGCGAAAGCGUGGGGAGCAAACAGG